AUUGAACGCUGGCGGCAUGCCUUACACAUGCAAGUCGAACGGCAGCACGGGAGCAAUCCUGGUGGCGAGUGGCGAACGGGUGAGUAAUAUAUCGGAACGUGCCCGGUCGUGGGGAUAACGUAGCGAAAGCUACGCUAAUACCGCAUACGAUCUACGGAUGAAAGCGGGGGAUCGCAAGACCUCGCGCGAUUGGAGCGGCCGAUAUCAGAUUAGGUAGUUGGUGAGGUAAAGGCUCACCAAGCCGACGAUCUGUAGCUGGUCUGAGAGGACGACCAGCCACACUGGGACUGAGACACGGCCCAGACUCCUACGGGAGGCAGCAGUGGGAAUUUUGGACAAUGGGCGCAAGCCUGAUCCAGCAAUGCCGCGUGCAGGAUGAAGGCC
This 384-nucleotide ribosomal RNA is filed under the name uncultured bacterium. RNAcentral describes it as "bacterial SSU rRNA". It matches the Rfam family "Bacterial small subunit ribosomal RNA", at positions 30 to 416 of the family's 1533-position model. The record is from RNAcentral.